Molecule: ribosomal RNA, 498 nt
Filed under: uncultured bacterium
Lineage: Bacteria
Description: partial 16S ribosomal RNA
Rfam family: Bacterial small subunit ribosomal RNA
Source: RNAcentral
AUUGAACGCUGGCGGCAUGCCUUACACAUGCAAGUCGAACGGUAACAGGUCUUCGGAUGCUGACGAGUGGCGAACGGGUGAGUAAUACAUCGGAACGUGCCUAGUAGUGGGGGAUAACUACUCGAAAGAGUGGCUAAAACCGCAUGAGAUCUACGGAUGAAAGCAGGGGAUCGCAAGACCUUGUGCUACUAGAGCGGCCGAUGGCAGAUUAGGGAGUUGGUGGGAUAAAAGCUUACCAAGCCGACGAUCUGUAGCUGGUCUGAGAGGAAGAUCAGGCAAACUGGGACGGAGAGGCGGCCCAGACUCCUACGGGAGGCAGCAGUGGGGAAUUUUGGACAAUGGGCGCAAGCCUGAUCCAGCAAUGCCGCGUGCAGGAUGAAGGCCUUCGGGUUGUAAACUGCUUUUGUACGGAACGAAAAGCCCCGGGUUAAUACCCUGGGGUCAUGACGGUACCGUAAGAAUAAGCACCGGCUAACUACGUGCCAGCAGCCGCCGCCG